RNAcentral lists this ribosomal RNA (422 nucleotides) under uncultured cyanobacterium. RNAcentral's name for it is "bacterial SSU rRNA". It matches the Rfam family "Bacterial small subunit ribosomal RNA", at positions 358 to 795 of the family's 1533-position model. Lineage: Bacteria; Bacillati; Cyanobacteriota. The record is from RNAcentral.
GGAAUUUUCCGCAAUGGGCGAAAGCCUGACGGAGCAACGCCGCGUGAGGGAUGAAGGCCUCUGGGCUGUAAACCUCUUUUCUCAAGGAAGAAGAUCUGACGGUACUUGAGGAAUAAGCCAUGGCUAAUUCCGUGCCAGCAGCCGCGGUAAUACGGGAGUGGCAAGCGUUAUCCGGAAUUAUUGGGCGUAAAGCGUCCGCAGGCGGCCCAUCAAGUCUGCUGUUAAAAAGUGGAGCUUAACUCCAUCAUGGCAGUGGAAACUGUUGGGCUAGAGUGUGGUAGGGGCAGAGGGAACUCCCGGUGUAGCGGUGAAAUGCGUAGAUAUCGGGAAGAACACCAGUGGCGAAGGCGCUCUGCUGGGCCAUAACUGACGCUCAUGGACGAAAGCCAGGGGAGCGAAAGGGAUUAGAUACCCCUGUAGUC